This 573-nucleotide ribosomal RNA is filed under the name Proformica longiseta. Its description in RNAcentral is "partial 16S ribosomal RNA". The stretch from base 426 to 573 matches the Rfam family "Bacterial large subunit ribosomal RNA", at positions 2473 to 2621 of the family's 2925-position model. The record is from RNAcentral. Lineage: Eukaryota; Metazoa; Arthropoda; Insecta; Hymenoptera; Formicidae.
CACCUGUUUAUCAAAAACAUGGUUUUAUAAUAUAAAUAUAAGAUUUGUUCUGCUCAAUGAUUAUUAAAUUAAAUAGCCGCAGUAUUAUGACUGUGCAAAGGUAGCAUAAUCAAUUGUCUUUUAAUUGAGGACUAGAAUGAAGGAAUGAAUGAAAUUUUAACUGUCUUAAAUAAAAAGUUAGAAUUUAAAUUUUAAGUAAGAAUGCUUAAAUAAUAUUAUGGGACGAGAAGACCCUAUAGAAUUUUAUAUAAAUUUUAAAUUAAAAUUAAUUAGGAAUAUAUAAUAAUAAAAUUUAAAAUUAUAUUUUGUUGGGAGGACAAUUAAAUUAAAUUAACUUUAAUUUUAUUUAAAUAAAAAUAACAAUAAUGUUUGAAAUAAUUGAAUAAAUUUUUAUUAUAAUUUAUAUAAGAAUUAAUUACCUUAGGGAUAACAGCGUUAUAUUUUUUGAAAGUUCAUAUUAAAAAAAAUGAUUGCGACCUCGAUGUUGAAUUAAAAUAAAAAUUAAAUGGAGAAGUUUAAUAUUUUAGUCUGUUCGACUAUUAAAAUUUUACAUGAUUUGAGUUCAAAUCGACG